Molecule: ribosomal RNA, 253 nt
Filed under: uncultured bacterium
Lineage: Bacteria
Description: partial 16S ribosomal RNA
Rfam family: Bacterial small subunit ribosomal RNA
Source: RNAcentral
UACAGGGGGUGCAAGCGUUGCUCGGAAUCACUGGGCGUAAAGCGUACGCAGGCGGACCGUUAAGUCGGGUGUGAAAGCCCGGGGCUCAACUCCAGAACUGCCUUCGAUACUGAGAGUCUUGAGUCCGGGAGAGGUGAGUGGAACUGCGAGUGUAGAGGUGAAAUUCGUAGAUAUUCGCAAGAACACCAGUGGCGAAGGCGGCUCACUGGCCCGGUACUGACGCUGAGGUGCGAAAGCGUGGGGAGCAAACAGG